CCCUUAGAUGUCCUGGGCCGCACGCGCGUUACACUGAUGCAUUCAACGAGCUUAUAACCUUGGCCGAGAGGCCUGGGCAAUCUUGUUAACGUGCAUCGUGAUAGGGAUAGAUUAUUGGAAUUAUUAAUCUUGAACGAGGAAUUCCUAGUAAACGCAGAUCAUCAAUCUGCAUUGAUUACGUCCCUGCCCUUUGUACACACCGCCCGUCGCACCUACCGAUUGGAUGGUCCGGUGAAGCCUCGGGAUUGUGGUUCUUGCCGCUUUAUUGUGGCGUGACCGCGAGAACUUGUCUAAACCUUAUCAUCUAGAGGAAGGUGAAGUCGUAACA
RNAcentral lists this ribosomal RNA (328 nucleotides) under uncultured eukaryote. Its description in RNAcentral is "partial 18S ribosomal RNA". It matches the Rfam family "Eukaryotic small subunit ribosomal RNA", at positions 1470 to 1796 of the family's 1831-position model. The record is from RNAcentral.